GUGAGGAAUAUUGGUCAAUGGGCGAGAGCCUGAACCAGCCAAGUAGCGUGCAGGAUGACGGCCCUAUGGGUUGUAAACUGCUUUUACACGGGGAUAAAGUGUGCGACGUGUCGUUCAUUGCAGGUACCGUGCGAAUAAGGACCGGCUAAUUCCGUGCCAGCAGCCGCGGUAAUACGGAAGGUCCGGGCGUUAUCCGGAUUUAUUGGGUUUAAAGGGAGCGUAGGCCGUCUGUUAAGCGUGUUGUGAAAUGUAGAUGCUCAACAUCUGAAUUGCAGCGCGAACUGACCGACUUGAGUGCGCAGGAAGUAGGCGGAAUUCGUGGUGUAGCGGUGAAAUGCUUAGAUAUCACGAAGAACUCCGAUUGCGAAGGCAGCUUACUAAGCUACAACUGACACUGAAGCACGAAAGCGUGGGGAUCAAACAGGAUUAGAAACCCCAGUAGUCC
Molecule: ribosomal RNA, 445 nt
Filed under: uncultured bacterium
Lineage: Bacteria
Description: partial 16S ribosomal RNA
Rfam family: Bacterial small subunit ribosomal RNA
Source: RNAcentral